RNAcentral lists this microRNA precursor (96 nucleotides) under Mus pahari (shrew mouse). RNAcentral's name for it is "miRNA (MGP_PahariEiJ_G0006569.1)". Lineage: Eukaryota; Metazoa; Chordata; Mammalia; Rodentia; Muridae. The record is from RNAcentral.
GCUAUUGUUAUCUGGAACCAUGGUUCCUGCAGGAAAACAGUGGUUGGUGGGGCCUGAACCCACAGCACCACUUCUGAAGUCACCGUGAAUUCCACC